GGAUGUGAGGGCGAUCUGGCUGCGACAUCUGUCACCCCAUUGAUCACCAGGGUUGAUUCGGCUGAUCUGGCUGGCUAGGUGGGUGUCCCCCUCCUCCCUCACCGAUCCAUGUGUGUCCCUCCCGAAGCUGCGCGCUCGGUUGAAGAGGACGACCUUCCCCCCCGAGGAGAGGACCGGUCUUCACUCAAGGGUAUACGAGUAGCUGCGCUCCCCUGCUAGAACCUCCAAACAAGCUCUCAAAGAUAGAAAGAGACAAAGAUGGACACUUUAUGAUGAUAAAGGGAACAGUCUUUCAAGAAGACAUAUCAUUUCUCAAUAUAUAUGCCCCCAAACAUGGAGCACCAAUAUAUAUAA
Myotis lucifugus (little brown bat) is the source of this 354-nucleotide unclassified non-coding RNA. Its record names the gene 7SK. It matches the Rfam family "7SK RNA". Rfam says of the family: 7SK was discovered as an abundant small nuclear RNA in the mid-70s but a possible function has only recently been suggested. Two independent studies have found that 7SK RNA binds the CDK9/cyclin T complex (known as elongation factor P-TEFb). P-TEFb activates transcription by phosphorylating the C-terminal domain of RNA polymerase II. Lineage: Eukaryota; Metazoa; Chordata; Mammalia; Chiroptera; Vespertilionidae. The record is from Ensembl.